Molecule: transfer RNA, 120 nt
Organism: Sclerotinia sclerotiorum
Lineage: Eukaryota; Fungi; Ascomycota; Leotiomycetes; Helotiales; Sclerotiniaceae
Rfam family: tRNA
About the family: Transfer RNA (tRNA) molecules are approximately 80 nucleotides in length. Their secondary structure includes four short double-helical elements and three loops (D, anti-codon, and T loops).
Source: Rfam
GGUCGUGUGGUCUAAUGGUUAUGAUAUCUCGUUCACAAACAUGUGUUCAUCAAUUCUGAUUUCGAUUGUACCCGUUAUCUGAUUCCGAGAUGGUUCCCAGUUCGAUCCUGGGCACGAUCA